AUCACUAAGCGGAGGAAAAGAAACUAACAAGGAUUCCCCUAGUAGCGGCGAGCGAACCGGGAGAAGCCCAGCUUGAAAAUCGCGUCGUUUCGGCGGCGCGAGUUGUAGUCUGGAGAAGCGUCCUCUGCAGCGGACCCGGCCUAAGUCCCCUGGAAAGGGGCGUCAGAGAGGGUGAGAACCCCGUCGGGCCGGGACCCUGCUGCUCCACGAGGCGCUUUCUACGAGUCGGGCUGUUUGAGAAUGCAGCCCUAAGCGGGAGGUAAAUUCCUUCCAAGGCUAAAUACAGGCGGGAGACCGAUAGCGAACAAGUACCGCGAGGGAAAGAUGAAAAGGACUUUGAAAAGAGAGUCAAAGAGUGCUUGAAAUUGCUGGGAGGGAAGCGAAUGGAGGCCUCACGUGCGCCCCGGUCGGAUGCGGAACGGCGCGAGCUGGUCCGGCCUCGACGCGGGGCGCCUGUCGGCGUGGGCUCCCUGGGCGGGAUAAACGGUCCCGUCGCCUCCGGGGCGGAUGGGGCGUCGGUCGCCGUCGAGGGGGCCGAGGCAAGUCCGUAAGAAGCGCGCGCCUUCGGGGGCGGGCCUGCCUCCUUCACGGGGGGCGGGCACCUGCGCGCUCGGGAUGCCGGCACGGCGGGCUU
RNAcentral lists this ribosomal RNA (634 nucleotides) under Corsinia coriandrina. RNAcentral describes it as "eukaryotic LSU rRNA". It matches the Rfam family "Eukaryotic large subunit ribosomal RNA", at positions 42 to 640 of the family's 3401-position model. The record is from RNAcentral. Lineage: Eukaryota; Viridiplantae; Streptophyta; Marchantiopsida; Marchantiales; Corsiniaceae.